Molecule: long non-coding RNA, 1388 nt
Organism: Hippopotamus amphibius kiboko
Lineage: Eukaryota; Metazoa; Chordata; Mammalia; Artiodactyla; Hippopotamidae
Exons: 6
Source: RefSeq, a predicted model, not a curated record
AGGCACACCACAUCCAAGAGCCACCUUAAUUUGGAAAUGGAUUGAAGUAUGACUCCACUCAUAAUUCCAUAACUAGCCUCCCAGGUCCUUUAGGAUCCAUGCUCUCACACUGGAGAUAGAAAAUUAAGGAAGAAAGUAUACUUUUCCAGCGUGGGUCCCAUGCCCAAGCCUUUGUCAGAAGAGGGCAGGACACCAUAAUUGACAUUUACAACACGACGGAAUUCAAUAGGAAAAGUGAAUGCUACAAGACAAUCGGGGAGAAGGAGUAGACACGUCAAAACUACAGCCAUUUAAUAUUCAGACGGAUGGUUGGGAAGAUGGAAGGAUGCUUGGAUACUUGGCAGGCCCGAGUUUCAGCUCCGGUCCACGAGGGGGCGCGAAGAGCCAGCUUGCGCGGGUUCCGCCCGGGGGGAACCGCCGCUCUAGCCCUCAGCCGCACCUCAACUGCAUUUCCGGCGGCGUGUACCGGAUGGAGGGCGGAUCCUGCAUCCGAGUCGCCGGGAACUGUGCAGCACCACCUCACAUCGUCUCCUUUGACCUGCAGUCGGCAGUUCCGGCGCCCCGGGCCCUGCGCCGAUGAAGACCCUCUCUCGGACGGCUUUGCGGGCCCUGCCUCUGGCAGCGCCCCCUCCUCUCCGGCAGGACCCCGACCCGCUGCCUGCCGCGCCCUUACUGUGUCCGGGGUCGGAGCCGUCCCCUGGGAUCCAGCUUCCUGAACCUGUACAAUGUCAUCAGAGUUUGCACAAAAGGUGACGUGAACAGCCCUCCCUGUCUCAGAUGCAGAUGAGCCGUUGUCGCACAUGGAGCAGUGAACUUCCGUCCUGCUCAUGAGAAGAUGAGUCCACUGUGUGCAGAGGUGUCAUGGAAGUGGUCACGUGAGGAGCGUUCUAGACCCCAGUGUCCUUGAGGGGUGCUGCCUUGGAGGAAGCCUCAAGCGGUGGAGGCUCUGGCCUCUCAGGAUGGUGACCUGGGUUCCAGCUCCCCUGGAGGGGCCUCCUCAUAGUUGUUUUGGGGCUGAUCACGGAUGCUGGCGUAGCAGAGGGAAGAGGGGUGUUGCUGCAUGAACGUCACCGACCUUUUCCUGUUACCUCAGCACAGUAUGGAAGGACUUGGCCCUUGUGAGCAGGGCAGAGGAAAAGUCCUAGCACUCUGGGGACUUGGGAUUCAGAACUGGAGGCCUUCGGCUGUCUCUGCCCCUCCCCAGCAGGUGCCACAGAGCACCGUGGACCCAGAAGACUGCUUCCCUUCCGUCAGGACCAGGUCAUCCAGUGGCCUCUGUGUCCCCCGUCUGCUUCUGGUGUAACUUUUUAGAAACAAGAGCUCCUGUUGGAGUCAUCUGUACUGGGCAUCUUGUCCUCUCACCCACUUCAAUAAAUCUUAAAACUGCC